GACGAACGCUGGCGGCGUGCUUAACACAUGCAAGUCGAACGAUGAAGAAAAGAAUCGAAGCUUCGGCAGAAAUUCAUUUCGGAUUAGUGGCAGACGGGUGAGUAACGCGUGAGCAACCUACCUCUUACAAAGGGAUAGCCUCGGGAAACCGGGAUUAAUACCAUAUAACAUUGCGACGAAGCAUUUCGAUGCAAUCAAAGCUACGGCGGUAAGAGAUGGGCUCGCGUCCCAUUAACCGGAUGGUGAGGUAACGGCUCACCAUAGUGACGAUGGGUAACCGGCCUGAGAGGGUGAACGGUCACACUGGAACUGAGACACGGUCCAGACUCCUACGGGAGGCAGCAGUGGGGAAUAUUGCACAAUGGAGGGAACUCUGAUGCAGCGACGCCGCGUGAGUGAUGAAGGAAUUCGUUUCGUAAAACUCUGUUCUAUGGGAAGAAGGACUGUACCAUAGGAG
Molecule: ribosomal RNA, 457 nt
Filed under: uncultured bacterium
Lineage: Bacteria
Description: bacterial SSU rRNA
Rfam family: Bacterial small subunit ribosomal RNA
Source: RNAcentral